Molecule: ribosomal RNA, 449 nt
Filed under: uncultured bacterium
Lineage: Bacteria
Description: bacterial SSU rRNA
Rfam family: Bacterial small subunit ribosomal RNA
Source: RNAcentral
AACGAACGCUGGCGGCAUGCCUAACACAUGCAAGUCGAACGAAGUCUUCGGACUUAGUGGCGCACGGGUGCGUAACGCGUGGGAAUCUGCCCUUGGGUGCGGAAUAACUUCUCGAAAGGGAUGCUAAUACCGCAUAAUGUCGUAAGACCAAAGAUUUAUCGCCCAAGGAUGAGCCCGCGUAAGAUUAGCUAGUUGGUGGGGUAAAAGCCUACCAAGGCGACGAUCUUUAGCUGGUCUGAGAGGAUGAUCAGCCACACUGGGACUGAGACACGGCCCAGACUCCUACGGGAGGCAGCAGUGGGGAAUAUUGGACAAUGGGCGAAAGCCUGAUCCAGCAAUGCCGCGUGAGUGAUGAAGGCCCUAGGGUUGUAAAGCUCUUUACCCGGGAUGAUAAUGACAGUACCGGGAGAAUAAGCUCCGGCUAACUCCGUGCCAGCAGCCGCGGUAAU